AUGCCUAACACAUGCAAGUCGAACGAGGUGCCUUCGGGUAUCUAGUAGCGCACGGGUGCGUAACGCGUGGGAAUCUGCCCUGGGGUCUGGGAUAACCGUUGGAAACGACGGCUAAUACCGGAUGAUGAUGUAAAUCCAAAGAUUUAUCGCCCUGGGAUGAGCCCGCGUAGGAUUAGCUAGUUGGUGGGGUAAAGGCCUACCAAGGCGACGAUCCUUAGCUGGUCUGAGAGGAUGAUCAGCCACACUGGGACUGAGACACGGCCCAGACUCC
RNAcentral lists this ribosomal RNA (271 nucleotides) under unidentified marine bacterioplankton. Its description in RNAcentral is "partial 16S ribosomal RNA". It matches the Rfam family "Bacterial small subunit ribosomal RNA", at positions 45 to 339 of the family's 1533-position model. The record is from RNAcentral.